Non-coding RNA from Malus domestica (apple), 1812 nucleotides. The record is from RefSeq and is a predicted model, not a curated record. Lineage: Eukaryota; Viridiplantae; Streptophyta; Magnoliopsida; Rosales; Rosaceae.
UCCCCCCCCCCCCCCCCAAAACAAAACUCUAUCUCUCCGUCUCUUUGCCUAUAUUCUCACGAUCUCUCAAACUAUCAGCCUUCUUACACACUCUCUCUCUCAGCGAGCUUGAUUUGGAUUGGUCUCUCUCAGGUUGGAAUCUCGAUUUCUAGCUUUGUAAUCUCGAUUUCAAGUUCUAUAGUCCCGAUUCUGGUGUGCCUUUUAGUUUCCUGGAGUUUCUUUCUACGAAUUUUGUUCAAUUAAUUAUUUAUUGAUUUUUUGUGCCUCUUGAUUUUUUAUUUCAUUCGUGUGUCCUGCUGUUUGAUUGGUCUUGGUAGCUAUUUUAGUUGUCGGGCUUUGUUCAUAUUUGAGCUUUGUUUCUGGGUUCUCUGCAUCUGCCUACGACGAGCCUCACACUCACCACCACGGUUGCGGUUAUGGCAUUGGACACGACCAUGGCCACGAAGAGGAGAAAUCUGGUCCUUGACAUAGCCAUCAGAGACUUUGUUUUCAUCUUCCUUGCUACUUCUUUUACAACUGCUACUCCAACAUAACCUUAUUGUGAUUUUAUGUAUUUGUUAUUGGAUAAUGUAGCUUAACUGUUGGAUUGAUUUUAGAGGAAAAGAAAAGAACAAUUUAUGCAUGCUUAAAAGUUAAUUCCUUCUUUGUUACUUAAUGUUGAUGAUGAUUGUAUUUAACUGGAAGGCUUAUGUUAAAUUGGAUAUAGAAUUUCACCAACAGGUUCGGGUUCCCGGUGUUGGUUUAAGGUAUUGGUUGACUUAAAGAAAUCAAAGGACGACAAUUCAAAACUGUUGAAGGCUAGAAAAUUUACGGCGUUUGAAGGGGAUUGUAAGAUUGCAAAUAAUGGCCCAAGCUUAUCAUGUUACAAAGCAAGCUACAACCAUAUUGAGCUAUCUUUACUCAUGGAGCAAAGUACGGCUGAUGUUAAAGCUCGCCAACUCUGUAUGGUAACAGGAGACGGAUCAAGCGGAACAAAUAGAGAGUCGACAAAUACUUGAGGCAAAGUGUCAUUAUAUAAAGGAGAAGGAAUGAUCGCAUUUGGAAGAGGAAGCAAGAGGCCCCGGGAGUUGUGGCGCAAAGAGUCGUGGCAUGGUUGUAGGAGUUCCAGGCGGUGGCAGACCUUGCACUCGUGGCACAGUAGCGGACGCCUAGGAUUAGGUAAGGGGAUGAAAGUGGUUCGAUGGCUGGGGAGGUGGCGGAGGACUGGGUGAGAGUGAAUGUGGAUGAAGCUACUAAAAUGCAGGCUCAGGUUGGUGGAGCUGGUACGGUGAUUCGUGACUCGCAGGGCGCUUUUGUGGCUGCAACGACAUGCUUUCUUUCCAAUGUUUCUUUGGCUCUUCAUGCUGAAUUGUUAGCAAUUAAGAAUGGAAUGGAGUUGGCUCAACAGCUUGGCUAUCAAAAGGUUUAAGUCGAAAGUGAUUCUUCUCAAGCAAUUUUUGUUAGAAUUCCUUUGUCCCACAUCGGCCAGAAGGCUUGAGAACAAGUCAUUUAUAUAGAAUUACCCCACUCUAACUAACACCGAGACCUUUGUAUUAAAACCCCACACCUGACAGAUUGAGCAGGUGGCCAAGUGAGGACAGUAUUGGUGUUCUUCUGAUAGUGGAAAUGACGGCAACCCGACCACUGCUCCAUCAACCACAUUCAGAUCCUCCCUUGAAUUCUCUAUCCCUCAUUCCCUAAGCAAAUCAUUCACUGCCUACAUCAGUUUAUAUAUGUUAUCUAUAUCAGGGAUCAUGUUACAAAUCACAAAAUCCAAAAUCUUACAAACAUUAUGAUUCCUCCAUACGUAUUCUUAUACUAAUUAAACCCUAA